Molecule: ribosomal RNA, 429 nt
Filed under: Chloroflexota bacterium
Lineage: Bacteria; Bacillati; Chloroflexota
Description: Chloroflexi bacterium partial 16S ribosomal RNA
Rfam family: Bacterial small subunit ribosomal RNA
Source: RNAcentral
UGGGGAAUAUUGCACAAUGGGCGCAAGCCUGAUGCAGCCAUGCCGCGUGUGUGAAGAAGGCCUUCGGGUUGUAAAGCACUUUCAGCGGGGAGGAAGGCGUUAAGGUUAAUAACCUUGGCGAUUGACGUUACCCGCAGAAGAAGCACCGGCUAACUCCGUGCCAGCAGCCGCGGUAAUACGGAGGGUGCAAGCGUUAAUCGGAAUUACUGGGCGUAAAGCGCACGCAGGCGGUCUGUCAAGUCGGAUGUGAAAUCCCCGGGCUCAACCUGGGAACUGCAUGCGAAACUGGCAGGCUAGAGUAUUGUAGAGGGGGGUAGAAGUCCAGGUGUAGCGGUGAAAUGCGUAGAGAUCUGGGGGAAUACCGGUGGCGAAGGCGGCCCCCUGGACAAAGACUGACGCUCAGGUGCGAAAGCGUGGGGAGCAAACAGG